This 2970-nucleotide ribosomal RNA is filed under the name Enterorhabdus sp. P55. RNAcentral describes it as "23S ribosomal RNA". It matches the Rfam family "Bacterial large subunit ribosomal RNA". Lineage: Bacteria; Bacillati; Actinomycetota; Coriobacteriia; Eggerthellales; Eggerthellaceae. The record is from RNAcentral.
GAUGAAGAUACCAAGGGCGCACGGCGGAUGCCUUGGCACAGGAAGUCGAAGAAGGACGCGGCAAGCUGCGAUAAGCCUCGGGGAGGAGCACACAUCCCUUGAUCCGAGGAUCUCCGAAUGGGGGAACCCGCCCGGGGUCAUGCCCGGGCACCCCGCCCUGAAUCAAAUAGGGGCGGGGGGACAACCCGGGGAACUGAAACAUCUAAGUACCCGGAGGAAGAGAAAUCAACCGAGAUCGCGCGAGUAGCGGCGAGCGAAAGCGCGCGAGCCCAAACCCGGGCGCGUGUAAGCGGCAGGCGUUGCCGCCCGGGGGUCGUGGGAGCCUCAUCCCAGGCGCUGCCCGCCUGGGCGGGGUCACAAAGGAGCUGGGUAGCGGAACGGCAUGGAAGGGCCGGCCGCAGCGGGUAAGAGCCCCGUACGCGAAACCCAGCUCCCCCCGUGGGGAUUUCCCGAGUAGGGCCGGACACGUGAAACCCGGUCCGAAGCCGGGGGGACCACCCUCCAAGGCUAAACACUCUCCUGUGACCGAUAGCGCACCAGUACCGUGAGGGAAAGGUGAAAAGCACCCCGAGAGGGGAGUGAAACAGUACCUGAAACCGUGCGCCUACAAGCAGUCGGAGCAGCCUUGCGCUGUGACGGCGUGCCUUUUGUAGAAUGAGCCAGCGAGUUGCGGUAUGCGGCGAGGUUAAGUUAUGAAACGAGCCGCAGCGAAAGCGAGCCUUUAAGAUGGCGAUUCAGUCGCAUGCUGCAGACGCGAAGCCGGGUGAGCUAUCCAUGGGCAGGCUGAAGCGGGGGUAAGACCCCGUGGAGGGCCGAACCCACUUCGGUUGAAAACGGAGGGGAUGACCUGUGGAUAGGGGUGAAAGGCCAAUCAAACCCGGAGAUAUCUCGUUCUCCCCGAAAUAGCUUUAGGGCUAGCCUCGGCCGUUCUCCCAUGGUGGUAGAGCCACCGGAUCCCUGAGGGGGCUUCACCGCCUACCGACGGGAACCGAACUCCGAAUGCCAUGGGAUCACAGGCCGGGAGUCAGAGCAUGUGGGCUAAGCUGUGUGCUCGAGAGGGAAACAGCCCAGACCGCCCGCUAAGGCCCCCAAGUCAUCGCUGAGUGGCAAAGGAUGUGCGUCUGCCCAGACAACCAGGAUGUUGGCUUAGAAGCAGCCAUGCAUUUAAAGAGUGCGUAACAGCUCACUGGUCGAGUGGACAUGCGCCGACAAUUCACGGGGCUAAGCGAUGCGCCGAAGCGGCGGAAUGAUUCAUUUCAUUGGUAGGGGAGCUUUCCGUCACCGGAGAAGCCGCGGGGCGACCCGCGGUGGAGGGGACGGAAGUGAGAAUGCUGGCAUGAGUAACGAGAGCUGGGCGAGAAACCCAGCCGCCGUAAGCCUAAGGGUUCCUGGGCAAGGCUAAUCCUCCCAGGGUCAGUCGGGAGCUAAGGCGAGGCCGGAAGGCGUAGCCGAUGCGCAACGGGUGGACAUUCCCGUACCGCUGAUGGGCCGCUAUCUACCGAGGGGGCGACGGAGAAGGGUAGCCGGGCGGGGUUCUGGACGUCCCCGUGAAAGCAUGUAGGGCGAGGCGCGUGGAAACCAGCGCCUCACGUGAGCCUGAGACGCGAGACGAAGCCUCAUGGCGAAGCCGGCGAGCCCAUGCUUCCGAGAAAAACCUCUAGGGAGGACCAUCGGCGCCCGUACCAAAACCGACACAGGUGGGCGGGUAGAACAUACCGAGGCGAUCGGGAGAACCAUGGUUAAGGAACUCGGCAUACUGGCUCCGUAACUUCGGGAGAAGGAGCGCCCCUGCGGGUGAAGGACCUCGCGUCCGGAGCGUGCGGGGGCCGCAGCGAAACGGCCCAAGCGACUGUUUAUCAAAAACACAGGACUCUGCAAAGUCGUAAGACGACGUAUAGGGUCUGACGCCUGCCCGGUGCCGGAAGGUUACGCGGAUGCGUUAGCACUCGUGCGAAGCGCUGAAGCCAAGCCCCGGUAAACGGCGGCCGUAACUAUAACGGUCCUAAGGUAGCGAAAUUCCUUGUCGGGUAAGUUCCGACCUGCACGAAUGGCGUAACGAUUUGGGCGCUGUCUCAACCAUGGACCCGGUGAAAUUGUACUGUUCGUGAAGAUGCGAACUACCCGCGGAAGGACGGAAAGACCCCGUGAACCUUUACUGCAGCUUGGCAUUGGCAGUUGGUACGACGUGUAGAGGAUAGGCGGGAGCCUGGGAAGCGGGAGCGCAAGCUUCCGCGGAGGCGCCCUUGGAAUACCGCCCUCGUCGUGCCGGCUGCCUAACGCGCGGCCGUGACCCGGCGCGCGGACCGUGCCAGGCGGGUAGUUUGACUGGGGCGGUCGCCUCCCAAAAAGUAACGGAGGCGCGCGUAAGGUCCGCUCAGGACGGUCGGCAACCGUCCGCAGAGCGCAAGAGUACAAGCGGGCUUGACUGCGAGGCCCACAAGCCGAGCAGAGACGAAAGUCGGUUCUAGUGAUCCGGCGGCUCAGAGUGGAAUGGCCGUCGCUCAACGGAUAAAAGGUACUCCGGGGAUAACAGGCUGAUCUUGCCCAAGAGUCCACAUCGACGGCAAGGUUUGGCACCUCGAUGUCGGCUCAUCGCAUCCUGGGGCUGAAGUCGGUCCCAAGGGUAUGGCUGUUCGCCAUUUAAAGCGGUACGCGAGCUGGGUUCAGAACGUCGUGAGACAGUUCGGUCCCUAUCCUCCGCGGGCGCAAGGGAAUUGAGGAGAUCUGCCCCUAGUACGAGAGGACCGGGGUGGACGGACCUCUGGUGACGCGGUUGUCGACCAACGGCACCGCCGCCUAGCUACGUCCGGCACGGAUAACCGCUGAAGGCAUCUAAGUGGGAAGCCGCCUCCGAGAUGAGUUCCCUUUCCGGUAAGGGCCCUCGUAGACCACGAGGUCGAUAGGGCGCAGCUGCAAGCAGGGCGACCUGCUCAGGCGAGCGCUACUAAUAGCCCGAGCUCUUCAUCUCAG